CCUAGUGGUUAGAGCCUAGAGGUGGCAGGGUAUCCUAGUGGUUAGAGUGUAGAGGUGGCAGGGUAGCCUAGUGGUUAGAGUGUAGAGGUGGCAGGGUAGCCUAGUGGUUAGAGUGUAGAGGUGGCAGGGUAGCCUAGUGGUUAGAGUGUAGAGGCGGCAGGGUAGCCUAGUGGUUAGAGUGUAGAGGCGGCAGGGUAGCCUAGUGGUUAGAGUGUAGAGGCGGCAGGGUAUCCUAGUGGUUAGAGUGUAGAGGCGGCAGGGUAGCCUAGUGGUUAGAGUGUAGAGGUGGCAGGGUAGCCUAGUGGUUAGAGUGUAGAGGGGGCAGGGUAGCCUAGUGGUUAGAGUGUAGAGGCGGCAGGGUAGCCUAGUGGUUAGAGUGUAGAGGCGGCAGGGUAGCCUAGUGGUUAGAGUGUAGAGGCGGCAGGGUAGCCUAGUGGUUAGAGUGUAGAGGUGGCAGGGUAGCCUAGUGGUUAGAGCGUAGAGGGGGCAGGGUAGCCUAGUGGUUAGAGUGUAGAGGCGGCAGGGUAGCCUAGUGGUUAGAGUGUAGAGGCGGCAGGGUAGCCUAGUGGUUAGACUGUAGAGGUGGCAGGGUAGCCUAGUGGUUAGAGUGUAGAGGUGGCAGGUAGCCUAGUGGUUAGAGUGUA
Long non-coding RNA from Oncorhynchus keta (chum salmon), 644 nucleotides. RefSeq lists it as uncharacterized. Lineage: Eukaryota; Metazoa; Chordata; Actinopteri; Salmoniformes; Salmonidae. The transcript is spliced from 4 exons. The record is from RefSeq and is a predicted model, not a curated record.